ACUUUAUGGAAACAGGCGGAAACAAAAGUUCAAGCUAAAAUCCGUAAGAUGAAGGUCACAAAGAAAGUCAACCAUCAUUACAAAAUCAAUGGAAAGAGGAAGACCGCCAAAGAACAGAAAAUGUUUCAACGUGCGCAAGAGUUGCGGUGGCGGGCAGAGGACUACCACAAAUGCAAAAUCACCCCCUCUGCAAGAAAGCCUCUUUGCAACUGGCUCUGUGCUCAAGCCCUGCAGAGGGAGAUGGCAGAGAGGAAGGCUGCCUACAAGCAUCACAGUCCCAUCCCUGUUGGUAACCGUGUUGUGCAAAAACACCUUCAUCCCCACCCAGUGGGGCCCCUGAUCUAAUAUUCAAAGUGUCAGAGGUUCCAUAUUUGUAAUAGCAAAUGGGCCCUGACUGUAAAUUAGUGAAGAGUGAAUGUAACUUAUUACCCACAGGGACAAUUCCAAAUGAAGGCCUUAAAUGAUGCUCAGCUAAGCUGGUUCUUGUGUGGCCUCUGUACCUUCAAAAGCUGCCGAGUCCUAUGAUUACACGUGAUGGGACUUGUACACUUGAAGUGAAACAGUUUUAAAACUUGCUUUGUUUAGAAUUCCCACCUCAUUUUUCCAUGGAC
RNAcentral lists this long non-coding RNA (611 nucleotides) under Homo sapiens (human). RNAcentral describes it as "non-protein coding lnc-EXOSC6-3:29". Lineage: Eukaryota; Metazoa; Chordata; Mammalia; Primates; Hominidae. The record is from RNAcentral.